Molecule: long non-coding RNA, 609 nt
Filed under: Dromaius novaehollandiae (emu)
Lineage: Eukaryota; Metazoa; Chordata; Aves; Casuariiformes; Dromaiidae
Description: lncRNA (ENSDNVG00000006775.1)
Source: RNAcentral
GCCCGCUGGGUGGUGGGAGCCGGGGGGCGCGAGGGGAACUCGGGGCGCGAGGCAGGAGCGGGAGAAACCCGGCGCUUCCGCUGCCAGCGCGGGGUGCUGCGGGUUCAGGGCAAGUCUGAAUCUCCAGCAAAGCAGGAAGGACCCCGUUUGCCUUGUGUCAGUCACGUCGUCUUCAGGUCUGGGGUCAGCCUCCCCCUUCUACAUCUGCGGCAGCAAGCUUGUUAGCCGCAGAGGCGAAGCCCGCCGUGAGAAGUACUAUAGCUUGGUGCCAGCCUGUAGAUGCAAAGAGCACGAAAUCAAACACAUCUGCAGAUACCACAGCAAGCAAGCAGGUGAAAAAGUGUUGGAGGCUGCAGAAAAAAAAAAUGCAGCCUCUGUAGUGUGCAGUCAACCUAGAACUUGCCAACAACGUACCAGGAAGGCUUCCAAAGACAUAUACAUUGAAGUUUCUCCUGGCACCUACUCUAUCACAGCAACCUCAGAGGACAUGGUGAAACAAACCCACGUGGUAAAUGUCAGCGCAGGACAAAGCGUUGAUUUAACUUUUGUUCUAUGAUGUUUGUUGUUUCUUGUCUAUCACAGGAAUAAAAUACUAGGCUUUUUAAUGCA